RNAcentral lists this ribosomal RNA (253 nucleotides) under uncultured bacterium. RNAcentral's name for it is "partial 16S ribosomal RNA". It matches the Rfam family "Bacterial small subunit ribosomal RNA", at positions 524 to 776 of the family's 1533-position model. The record is from RNAcentral.
UACGAAGGGGGCUAGCGUUGCUCGGAAUCACUGGGCGUAAAGGGUGCGUAGGCGGGUCUUUAAGUCAGGGGUGAAAUCCUGGAGCUCAACUCCAGAACUGCCUUUGAUACUGAGGAUCUUGAGUUCGGGAGAGGUGAGUGGAACUGCGAGUGUAGAGGUGAAAUUCGUAGAUAUUCGCAAGAACACCAGUGGCGAAGGCGGCUCACUGGCCCGAUACUGACGCUGAAAUACGAAAGCGUGGGGAGCAAACAGG